UGCUAGGGGUGCAUUAUUGCUGAGAGAUGAUUUCAUCGACCCUUAAUACUUGAACCGGGUAAUACCGGCGUAAGGAAGCAUUUUUAUA
RNAcentral lists this non-coding RNA (88 nucleotides) under human gut metagenome. RNAcentral's name for it is "TPP riboswitch (THI element)". It matches the Rfam family "TPP riboswitch aptamer (THI element)", at positions 7 to 92 of the family's 105-position model. Rfam says of the family: Vitamin B(1) in its active form thiamin pyrophosphate (TPP) is an essential coenzyme that is synthesised by coupling of pyrimidine and thiazole moieties in bacteria. The previously detected thiamin-regulatory element, thi box was extended, resulting in a new, highly conserved RNA secondary structure, the THI element, which is widely distributed in eubacteria and also occurs in some archaea. RNAcentral also lists the same sequence under 1 other name. The record is from RNAcentral.